Molecule: ribosomal RNA, 254 nt
Filed under: uncultured bacterium
Lineage: Bacteria
Description: partial 16S ribosomal RNA
Rfam family: Bacterial small subunit ribosomal RNA
Source: RNAcentral
CACGUAGGGUGCGAGCGUUGUCCGGAAUUAUUGGGCGUAAAGAGCUCGUAGGCGGUGUGUCGCGUCGGCCGUGAAAACCUGCAGCUUAACUGUGGGCUUGCGGUCGAUACGGGCAUCACUGGAGUUCGGCAGGGGAGACUGGAAUUCCUGGUGUAGCGGUGAAAUGCGCAGAUAUCAGGAGGAACACCGGUGGCGAAGGCGGGUCUCUGGGCCGAUACUGACGCUGAGGAGCGAAAGCGUUGGGAGCGAACAGG